RNA transcript from Chenopodium quinoa (quinoa), 1888 nucleotides. It is a transcript of the gene named D-amino-acid transaminase, chloroplastic-like, with no coding region annotated. The transcript is spliced from 6 exons. NCBI's taxonomy places the organism in Eukaryota, Viridiplantae, Streptophyta, Magnoliopsida, Caryophyllales, Amaranthaceae. The record is from RefSeq and is a predicted model, not a curated record.
UUGCCUAUGGGUGGACACCGAACACGGGAAAAGUCAAUACCAAUAAACAAAAAUCGCCUAUUAACAUUUACACUUCCCUCUACCCGCCAUUCCGCCAGGCCAAUACUGAAUACUCCGAUGGCUGCUUGGCCUGCUUCUCUUCGAAUUUCCCCAAAUCAAAUCGCACAUAAUCAACUAAUUUACAAGAAUUACCAGCUGUAUAAUUCCCAGUUUUCUGCUACAACAAACCACCCAUUUCGUCGAUUUAGGCUUCCAAGCUCUCAUCUUGGAAUUGUUAGACUCUCAAAUCAAGCUCAAUCAUUAAUUAAUUUUACAACCCCAAUUAUGGAAGUUCCACUUUUAUCAUGUGAAGAGGCAAUUGAGAGGUUAAGAUUGAGUAGAGAGAGGCAUAAGGGCAAACAGCAAUUCUUGGCUAUGUACUCUAGUAUAUUUGGUGGAAUUACUACAGACCCUGCGGCGAUGGUCAUCCCCAUGGAUGAUCACAUGGUACAUAGAGGUCAUGGGAUUUUUGACACCGCGACUAUAGUGGAAGGUCAUCUCUACGAAUUGGAUCAACACCUUGAUCGUUGUGUGAGGUCUGCAUCUAUGGCAAAAAUCAGUUUACCGUUUGAUAGGGAAACCAUGAGAAGCAUACUGAUUCAGACAGUUAGUGCUUCUAAGUGUAGAAAUGGCUCUUUAAGAUAUUGGCUUUCUGCAGGACAUGGUGACUUUCAUCUCUCCCCAUCUGGGUGUGCUGAGUCAACAUUUUACGCCAUUGUGACUCAAAGUUCAACCUCAUCUGAUCACACGGGGAUCAAAGUAAUUACAUCUUCCAUUCCAAUAAAGCCUCCUGUGUUCGCUACAAUGAAGAGUGUCAAUUACCUUCCGAAUGCACUAUGCCAGAUGGAAGCUGAAGAAAAUGGUUGCUUUGCAUCUAUAUGGCUGGAUUCUGAAGGAUUUGUUGCUGAGGGUCCAAAUAUGAAUGUGGCCUUUGUCACGUAUGAUAAAGAGCUUAUGAUGCCAAGAUUUGAUAAAAUCCUUAGUGGUUGUACGGCCAAGAGAGUGCUUAAGCUUUCACAGGAGCUGGUUAAGAAGGGUGACAUUCGAGGAGUAAGCACUAGGGAUGUGACCGUGGAAGAAGGGAAAAAUGCUGAGGAGAUGAUGCUUUUUGGCAGCGGUGUCCUAGUGCGUCCAAUUGUUCAGUGGGAUGACCAGGUCAUUGGUAAUGGAAAUGAAGGUCCUGUUGCUCGAGCACUUCUUGAACUCCUUCUGCAGGACAUGAAAUCAGGCCCAUCAACAGUUCGGACACCUAUUCCUUAUUAGUCACAAAGAGCAUUAUGCAUUGUUUUUUGCUCGAGUCAAUGGUAGGAAAAAAGAUCUCAGCAAGUUCCCAUCAGCAUAUAAAAAAAGGACCAAAGGAGAUGGUGCUUAUGGGCAGAGUGGUUGCUAUGUACUGAUGUGUUGGAGCAUCCAGUUAUUCAGUGGGAUGAAUAAGUUUCCUGCUAUGGUUGAUGUUAAGAGGGUACGUCUUUUUUCUUCUCACCAUUAAAAAUAUAGAGGUUAAGAGAAGAGCUGUUAAGGUUAAAGAACGGCUACCCAAGUUCAAUUAACAACUGGUAAGGGCAAAAAAGUUCAGCUAAAGGCUAAUAGGCGGAUUAGACGAUGGCUGUAUUAUAUUUUCCUUUCUUUCUGUUGACGUUUCCUUUCCUUAAAGGAAAAUUUGCAAAGAGCACAAGUUGUUUUUGCUUUAUAGUAAAGUUUCCUCCCAUAUCAACCCUAGCAUAAUUUUUUGUUGUUAAAGAUCAGUUGAAAAAGCUAUUACAAGAAUAAAGAAUUAUACAAGGAGCUGUACACUAGAAUGACAUACUAAUUUCCUUAUAAUACUUUGUUUACUUCGUAUUUAAGAGAA